This 253-nucleotide ribosomal RNA is filed under the name uncultured bacterium. Its description in RNAcentral is "partial 16S ribosomal RNA". It matches the Rfam family "Bacterial small subunit ribosomal RNA", at positions 524 to 776 of the family's 1533-position model. The record is from RNAcentral.
UACGGAGGGUGCAAACGUUGCUCGGAAUUAUUGGGCGUAAAGCGCACGUAGGCGGUCUAGCAAGUCGGGUGUGAAAGCCCUCAGCUUAACUGAGGAAGUGCAUUCGAAACUACUAGGCUUGAGUACUGAAGAGGACGACGGAAUUCCCGGUGUAGAGGUGAAAUUCGUAGAUAUCGGGAGGAACGCCUGUGGCGAAGGCGGCUCUCUGGUCCCAUACUGACGCUGAGGCGCGAAAGCUAGGGUAGCAAACAGG